Heterocephalus glaber (naked mole-rat) is the source of this 501-nucleotide long non-coding RNA. NCBI's taxonomy places the organism in Eukaryota, Metazoa, Chordata, Mammalia, Rodentia, Bathyergidae. The record is from Ensembl.
ACGUGGACACCUCCGGGUUCACUGGCCCCACUUCUGCGCCCCUUCUCCAGGCGCCGACACCUCGCCGUCCUGGAGCCCUCGUUCUCGGAACCGGAACCGGAACUGGAUCACAGUGGGCAGCACAGCCACAGCGCCCAGAGCACCAGUCCUUGAGAGUUCAGACGCCCAAUUAGUGUCCUUAUAAAAUGGUGUCAGGGAACCUUCUCUAAAAUCCCGUAUAUCACCCUUAGGACACUGAAGUAUCCGUACGCCGAAUCAUCCAUCUUCCUGCAGAUCUCCUCUCCUCCCACUUACUUGGGCCUAAAGCGGCUGCUUGCAGUGAGAGAAGAGAAGCAGGAUCUUCCUUCCCUCGUUCUUGCUCUGCUCCUUCUCUUCUACAAGUUUGGUCAUAAUCUGAAGAUGAUCUUGCCAUCAACUGUUCCUGCAGAUAGCACCAGGGAGCCCUUUGUCUGUAACAUAAGCCGCUGUUUGUCCCAGGAAUUAGGCUUCAAAAGUUAUCAG